Non-coding RNA from Salmo salar (Atlantic salmon), 82 nucleotides. Lineage: Eukaryota; Metazoa; Chordata; Actinopteri; Salmoniformes; Salmonidae. The record is from Rfam.
GGUCCUGGUCAGCUUUGCGGGGUGGGCAGUCAGCCUUUUUGUAGGAGCAGCUGUGCAAACCCAAGCAAAACUGACUGUGAAC